UGGGGAGCAAACAGGAUUAGAUACCCUGGUAGUCCACGCCGUAAACGAUGUCGACUUGGAGGUUGUUCCCUUGAGGAGUGGCUUCCGGAGCUAACGCGUUAAGUCGACCGCCUGGGGAGUACGGCCGCAAGGUUAAAACUCAAAUGAAUUGACGGGGGCCCGCACAAGCGGUGGAGCAUGUGGUUUAAUUCGAUGCAACGCGAAGAACCUUACCUACUCUUGACAUCCAGAGAACUUAGCAGAGAUGCUUUGGUGCCUUCGGGAACUCUGAGACAGGUGCUGCAUGGCUGUCGUCAGCUCGUGUUGUGAAAUGUUGGGUUAAGUCCCGCAACGAGCGCAACCCUUAUCCUUUGUUGCCAGCGAUUCGGUCGGGAACUCAAAGGAGACUGCCGGUGAUAAACCGGAGGAAGGUGGGGAUGACGUCAAGUCAUCAUGGCCCUUACGAGUAGGGCUACACACGUGCUACAAUGGCGCAUACAAAGAGAAGCGACCUCGCGAGAGCAAGCGGACCUCACAAAGUGCGUCGUAGUCCGGAUCGGAGUCUGCAACUCGACUCCGUGAAGUCGGAAUCGCUAGUAAUCGUGGAUCAGAAUGCCACGGUGAAUACGUUCCCGGGCCUUGUACACACCGCCCGUCACACCAUGGGAGUGGGUUGCAAAAGAAGUAGGUAGCUUAACCUUCGGGAGGGCG
Molecule: ribosomal RNA, 690 nt
Filed under: Pantoea sp. H18(2010)
Lineage: Bacteria; Pseudomonadati; Pseudomonadota; Gammaproteobacteria; Enterobacterales; Erwiniaceae
Description: bacterial SSU rRNA
Rfam family: Bacterial small subunit ribosomal RNA
Source: RNAcentral